GACGAACCGUCCAAACGUUAUUCGGAAUCACUGGGCUUAAAGGGUGCGUAGGCGGUGCUGUAAGUUGGGUGUGAAAUCCCUCGGCUCAACCGAGGAAUUGCGCCCAAUACUGCAGUACUAGAGGGAGACAGAGGUGAGCGGAACUUGUGGUGGAGCGGUGAAAUGCGUUGAUAUCACAAGGAACACCUGUGGCGAAAGCGGCUCACUGGGUCUUUUCUGACGCUGAGGCACGAAAGCUGGGGGAGCGAACGGGAUUAGAUACCCCGGUAGUCCCAGCUGUAAACGUUGAGCACUAGUCCGGAGGACCCCCCAUAGUUUUCCGGACGUAGCGAAAGUGUUAAGUGCUCCGCCUGGGGAGUAUGGUCGCAAGGCUGAA
RNAcentral lists this ribosomal RNA (376 nucleotides) under uncultured bacterium. RNAcentral describes it as "bacterial SSU rRNA". It matches the Rfam family "Bacterial small subunit ribosomal RNA", at positions 524 to 898 of the family's 1533-position model. The record is from RNAcentral.